Oryzias latipes (Japanese medaka) is the source of this 1217-nucleotide long non-coding RNA. RefSeq lists it as uncharacterized. Lineage: Eukaryota; Metazoa; Chordata; Actinopteri; Beloniformes; Adrianichthyidae. The record is from RefSeq and is a predicted model, not a curated record.
UAUGGCUCUCUCGGCCAAAAAGGUUCCCGACCCCUGCCCUAGGGUAAGAACAGAGUUUAACCAACCCGGAACCAAAGAAAAAAAAGGAAGCAAAUGGACAAUGCAAGUGACCCUGGUAAGUUACUGCAUUUCUUUUGUUUAUUUUUUUUAUAUAAUUGGAACAGGUUAGGACACUCCGAAAAGUAAAUUGUUUUUCAUAAUAAGCAUCCAUGGUAAUUCAGUCCACUAGAAGGUUCUCUGUAGCAUUACAUAAGUUUAUUUCUCCAUGAAAAUGUUCUGCUGUGUCGACCCGUGACGUUCACGAACGAACCGAAUCCUUUGAACUACUUUUUCCCCUUCCUUCCCUAAGUUUCAUGAAUACUUCCGUACUUCCGUGAAAAUGGAAAAGGAGUCCUGGCGCAUGCAGGCAACAGCUGCGAGGGUGGGGGGCUAGUUUUUCUGCCCUUGUAGUCAUGAGUCAGAGUUGACUGCUUUUUAAAGAAAGAUUAUUUUGCAUGGAGCUUAAAAUUCGCCCGAUUUGUUUAUUAUUAUGUUUAUAUAUAGGGUUUUUUAGUUACAUAAAGUCAUUUAAGUUGACUUUUUAGAAAUAUGGUGAUCCUAAAAUAGUAAAACAAACUCGUUUUUAACCACUCCUGACAUUACACUAAAUUAAGAGGCCUUAUAAGUUUUAUUUUUCUGCCAAGUAAAAAAUGUUCAUAAAUGGCUUUCUACAAUCAGUAGUAUGCAUUUUUAAUAAUACAUGGUAUUUUUCUUUCACAGGUCAACCAACUACACAGCUUCCAUUCAAAAAACAGCAGCAAGAGAUACAGCUGCAGAAGCAAAAACUGCUGAGUCAACAAGAAGUUAUUAAAGAGCUUUCAACAGAAAGAGACUUACUAAAAGAACAGCUAACACAACUGCCUCUUCAGCCAUCAUCAAGUGGCGUUGCACUGCUUGGGAAACGGCACAAAACAUCUAAAAUGCCCGUGAUCCAGAUGACACGAGGAGAGGUACACCAAAGUUUUAAAGGCCUUUAAAGGACUCACCUUGUCUGGAGCCUCCUAAAAAGUGGGCGUGGACCGAAACACAGCAACACUCCAGUUGCAGAACUUCCCAUCACAGACCAAGAAAAAUACUCUGAGCAAAAAAACUGUCGCUUGCCUGUUGACAAGCUGAAUGAUUUCAUCAGAUCUGGCAUUGAAGAAAUAAAAGCAAAUUCAGAAAUUGGAGGAAAAAAA